RNAcentral lists this ribosomal RNA (497 nucleotides) under uncultured bacterium. Its description in RNAcentral is "partial 16S ribosomal RNA". It matches the Rfam family "Bacterial small subunit ribosomal RNA", at positions 28 to 507 of the family's 1533-position model. The record is from RNAcentral.
GAUGAACGCUGGCGGCGUGCCUAAUACAUGCAAGUCGAGCGAACAGAUAAGGAGCUUGCUCCUUUGACGUUAGCGGCGGACGGGUGAGUAACACGUGGAUAACCUACCUAUAAGACUGGGAUAACUUCGGGAAACCGGAGCUAAUACCGGAUAACAUAUUGAACCGCAUGGUUCAAUAGUGAAAGGCGGCUUUGCUGUCACUUAUAGAUGGAUCCGCGCCGUAUUAGCUAGUUGGUAAGGCAACGGCUUACCAAGGCAACGAUACGUAGCCGACCUGAGAGGGUGAUCGGCCACACUGGAACUGAGACACGGUCCAGACUCCUACGGGAGGCAGCAGUAGGGAAUCUUCCGCAAUGGGCGAAAGCCUGACGGAGCAACGCCGCGUGAGUGAUGAAGGUCUUCGGAUCGUAAAACUCUGUUAUCAGGGAAGAACAAAUGUGUAAGUAACUGUGCACAUCUUGACGGUACCUGAUCAGAAAGCCACGGCUAACUACGUG